RNAcentral lists this unclassified non-coding RNA (3449 nucleotides) under Limulus polyphemus (Atlantic horseshoe crab). RNAcentral describes it as "sorting nexin-29-like, transcript variant X5". Lineage: Eukaryota; Metazoa; Arthropoda; Merostomata; Xiphosura; Limulidae. The record is from RNAcentral.
AAGGAUGUUUCAGAUUUUACCUGUCGAGCUAGUUGUAUCCUAAGAGAGAGAGAGAGAAGGAGGACUUUUUGGUAUCGUAUACGUGGAAAAUAUUUGCUUGAGCCCGGGCUUGUACGAUUCACCUCUAGGAAUCCACCCAUUGCCAAGUUAAGCCUCUCAGGAUAUAUUUCCCUAAAUCUGCAGGGAGUCAGAAAGAUAGGGUUUUCCAGAAGACCACUACAGUGAAUGAAGUGAACAACACCUUGGACAAGUCAGACUACUAGAACCUUGGAUUUGUGACAAGAUUUCAAAAGUAGUGUCACAUAGCCUGUACAGAUAACUUGUGGACUAAUACUUGUAAAUAUAUACGAUUAUAAUGAAUGUAUAGAUCAAUGGGCAACUGAUCUGGUAUUGUUGUCCAUCUGGUUGAUUGUCAGAAAUCAUGAUCGAUGAAGGUGAAGACUCUUACCUCUUAGAACGCCAGACUCUGGUCUCACAUCUUUUAGAUGCCGUUAAACAGUGUCAGAUAAGAUUUGGUGGAAGAGGAGAGCUAGCUACAGAGACAGACAGCAGAGUAGUGUGUCUUUGUGCCCAGUUUGAAGCAGUACUUCAACAUGGUUUGCGAAGGAACAAUAAACGUCUAUCCGCUAUCAGGCAUAUGACAGAUAUGGUUAAAGGACUGAACAUGAAACACCCUGAUUCUGAACCAACAUUUUGGCACUUUGUACGUAACCACUUGAACAAACAUGAGUAUGAAAGAUAUAUGUUGUUGAAAAACAUAUCGACUGAUAUUGGAAGAGGACGAGCUUGGCUGAGAUCUGCAUUGAACGAACACUCUUUGGAACGAAACAUGCAUAUGUUUCUUGCAGACACAUCUGUUAUUAGUCAAUAUUAUGAAAACUGGGCUUUCUUAGCUGAUGAAGAAAGAAGCAGCAUGCUACCUACCAUGUCUGCAGGUUUGGGGUCUGUUUUGUUUGCCAUAAACAUUGACAAUCCAGACUUGAACACGUCUCGCACCAUUGUACAGAAAGAACCACAGCUAUCUUGUACCGAAUCACAGCAUGUGAAACUCAAUGUAGAACCUCUGCCAGUUGUUGUAAAGUCUGUUGGACGAGUACCAGAAAAUAGAAAAAAGAGAAGGAAAAAACCAGUUGCUCAGGUUGUGUCUUUUGAUGAUGAUGAGGUCAAGACAGAGGAUGAAAGGUCUGUAGAGUGGUCACAUGAAUGUUAUAGUGCUCCACCUACCUGCAUGUCAUCACCUGUAUCGAGCUCAGGAAACUUUCCUGACCUUGACCGACUAAGUACAUAUUCCAAUGUUAGUCUGUCAGUGUCGAACAAGUCAUCCCCACAUUUGGAAAGAAAUGAAUCUGAUAAAUUAAAUGAUGGUGCAGAUGGACAGAUGAAUCUUCAUGCCACUACCAAUUCCCAGUCUUUAAUUUCUUCCAUAGGAAUAACUGUCAAAAAGGGUUCUCCCUUGUCUAGUAGUGUGAAUAUGAGUAUGACUAGCAGUGACAGUUCAGGAGAUGUUUGUGAUCAGCCUUCAGGUUCUGAAAAUUCUUUUCCAGUUAAUGAGCUUUCCAUAAAGACAAAACAAGAUGUUGAAGCUAAUAAUUCUUCAGUGAUCAUAAGUGAUAGUGCUCCAAGUCAUACCAAUAGUAGGCAGAAAAAUGAUACCAAAAAAUUUAUAAAACAGAGUAAUCCUUUAGAACCUAAAAGAGAGGACUUCACCAAUGGAAAUAUUUUGAUGCCCAUUUUGGGCUCCUCAGAAUUCAGUGUCCCUUUAAUCCCAUUGUCUCAGGGAGAUGACAUUCCUUCCGGUAAGAAAGAUUCAGCAUCCAUUCCUAGCUAUGGAGAUGAAAUGGAAAACGCUGCAGCUGCCCUAGCCAUGACCCAAAAGAUAUCGGGCUGGGCCAACUCUUCAGGAGGAAAGACACACACUAAAGAACAAAAAAUAACAGAACCUCGCACUCGCAGUGAUACCAUGACCAUGAGUGCAGAUGAACUACGUGAGGCUUUGUUGACAGUCCUUCAAAGGAAAACAGAAGCUGAAGAACAAAUUAGCUCUCUUCGAUCUCUACUGCACCAAGAGAUGGAGUUGAAUGCAGGAUUGCGAGCAGAAAUAAAGGAUGUGAAAAAAGAUCAAGAAGAAAAAAAUGAAAAAAUUGAAGCUAAAUUUCAGACAGUAACAAGGGAAAAUGAGCUUCUCAAGCACCAGUUGAAAAAGUACAUUACUGCUGUACAAAUGUUGAAAAGAGAUGGAAUUAAAGGUCAUGAAGUACUCAAAAAUAUGAUUGGAGAGAUUGAGCCAGCUGUUCCUGAACCUAAAUUGUACAUUGAUCAUCACUAUGAGGCUAGUGAAUAUGAAAAGAAACUUGUACAGGUGGCUGAAAUGCAUGGAGAACUUUUAGAAUUCAAUGAACAACUACAUCGUCAGCUUGUACAACGGGAAACUACUAUACGUCGACUACGAGAAGAACUAAUAGAUUUACGAGGACCUUUUCCAGAAGAAAAUCAGACAUCGGAUGAUGACGUCAGUGUAACUUCUGAUUAUGAUGCGAGUUCCCAGUUAGCAAUUUCACGACCACUCAUUAAUAUCUGGAUUCCUUCUGCAUUCUUGACAGGAAGGUCAUCUGAUGUUCACCACGUCUACCAGGUUUAUAUUCGUAUUAAAGAUGAAGAAUGGAACAUUUAUCGAAGAUAUGCUCAGUUCUAUGCUCUUCAUAAGGCUCUCAAGAGAAGGAAUACUAUAGUGAACUCCUUUGACUUCCCUCCAAAAAAAUCUGUGGGGAAUAAGGAUUCAAAAGUUGUAGAAGAAAGAAGGCGAAGAUUACAACAUUACUUACGUUGUGUAGUGAACUGGUUUCUUCAACAUAAUCCUGACUUAGCCAGUAAUGCAGACAAAGAAAUGUUUUUAUCAAUUUUACCAUUUUUUGGCAAACAAGCAGACAGUCUUGAUGGACAGGAAAACUCAACAAGUACCUCAAGCCAUUUUGGAAAAUCUGGUUCAAAACUUCCAUCUGCUUCAUCAUCAAGUCAGUCUUCUCAACAACACUACAAUGGAUUAUGAAGGACAGAAAUGACUAUUUGAAUCAUCCUAAGACAGGUCCUUGUUGUGAAGAAAGAAGAGGCUGUUACAUCUUGGGUCUAACCACAGAAAUACUUGAAAAAACGGCAACCAAAGCACGAGGUCAGACCCUUAAAGUGGCAGGGCUACAUCUGAAAACCUUGCUUUUCACAUGGUCAGUCCUAUGUUGGGUGUUCAAGAAUAGAAUCACCAAGAAACUUAUAUUUUGAACCAAUAACAACUUCUAAUGUGGUGUAUCAAGAACUCAAGAGUAUCAACAACACUGAGGCUGUAGAGAGAGAUUAACACCAUAAUUUUAACACAAUUUCAGUAACGUGGAAUAAAAUAGGUGUGAAAUAAAGUAGUUGUAAAGUUAAUUAUGUGUGAAAUAAAAUAUGAAUAUAAA